GUCUCUGUAGUGCAAUGGAUUGCACGCUGGACUUUUAAUCCGAAGGUCGUGGGUUCGAAUCCCAUCUGGGGUG
RNAcentral lists this transfer RNA (73 nucleotides) under Trichonephila inaurata madagascariensis. It matches the Rfam family "tRNA". From Rfam's summary of the family: Transfer RNA (tRNA) molecules are approximately 80 nucleotides in length. Their secondary structure includes four short double-helical elements and three loops (D, anti-codon, and T loops). The record is from Rfam by way of RNAcentral. Lineage: Eukaryota; Metazoa; Arthropoda; Arachnida; Araneae; Nephilidae.